CCUACGGGAGGCAGCAGUGGGGAAUAUUGCGCAAUGGGCGAAAGCCUGACGCAGCGACGCCGCGUGAGGGAUGAAGGUCUUCGGAUCGUAAACCUCUGUCAGCAGGGAAGAACGGUCACUGUGCUAAUCAGCAGUGAAUUGACGGUACCUGCAAAGGAAGCACCGGCUAACUCCGUGCCAGCAGCCGCGGUAAUACGGAGGGUGCGAGCGUUAAUCGGAAUUACUGGGCGUAAAGCGCUCGUAGGCGGUAUGUCAAGUCAAGGGUGAAAUCCCCGCGCUCAACGUGGGAACUGCCUUUGAAACUGGCAGACUGGAGUGUGUGAGAGGAUAGUGGAAUGCCAGGUGUAGGAGUGAAAUCCGUAGAUAUCUGGAGGAACAUCAGUGGCGAAGGCGACUAUCUGGCACAUAACUGACGCUGAGGUGCGAAAGCGUGGGUAGCAAACAGGAUUAGAUACCCCAGUAGUC
Molecule: ribosomal RNA, 465 nt
Filed under: uncultured bacterium
Lineage: Bacteria
Description: partial 16S ribosomal RNA
Rfam family: Bacterial small subunit ribosomal RNA
Source: RNAcentral